This is a long non-coding RNA of Wyeomyia smithii (pitcher-plant mosquito), 1733 nucleotides long. RefSeq lists it as uncharacterized. The transcript has 4 exons. The record is from RefSeq and is a predicted model, not a curated record. NCBI's taxonomy places the organism in Eukaryota, Metazoa, Arthropoda, Insecta, Diptera, Culicidae.
GCAAGUUCAGCUCGUCUGACGUAGGUAUUUCUAGUUUCCAGUCGCGCUGUGAAGUCCCUACUGAGAGGAUGAAUUUGAUACCGAUAAGAUGCGCCGCUUUAGUUCUAGUUCUUAUAUAUUAUGGAUGGUGCGAUCAGGUAGAAGCAGAAACUAAUUACGAUCUAGAAACAAAAUCGGGAUCGCUGCAAAGCAAUUCCAGCAAACAUGCGUUGUGUUCAGGUUUCAAAAGAUCUCGCAAAGGAGUUUACGUGUACGAUGCAGAUGCUAACGAGUGGACAGUUGAUGUGGCAAUAGUUCCAUAUCGACAGCAGUAUUGUUCACGUGCCGAUCCUCAUCAACAAAAACCUAACCAGUCGCAGAGAAAAACUAUACGUAUUUACGAUACAGACACUCAGCGUUGGACGGAUAGUGUGAUCACAGAACUGUCACCUACUCCGGUUUAGUGAAAUUCACCGUUUAUCUGUGUUUUGUAAAAGUUUUUAUCGAAUAACUUCAGACAGAAAGCAAUCUACUGAUCCUGAGCAACCCAAUUGAUCACUUGAAAAGUUAUGGUAUGCCGUCACUUACUUCGACUUUUCGCAUUCCGGCAUCUGAAACGACAACGGUGAAGGUUGAUAAUCUAGGACAUUAAGGAACACGGAAUCUUUGCAAUCCUCAAUAGCUGCGAUAACCGCUUAGUUAGUCAAUAAGUAAACAAUUAAGCUAGUUGUAAGAUAAAUUUUAUUUCUUGACUAGUAGGCUCAAAUGCCUACGAGUGAUAGCAACAGUGUCGAGUCGUCACCAUUUGUGAUUGGCUGGACGAAAUAUUUUAUUAACAAAUGAAUAAUUUACCCCUGUUUACACUACGUGCGUCUAUAAAUUUUAAACUGAAUUCCAAUUAGAUAACCUUUACUCACUCAUGAUUUCGAGCUGACAAAGUUGGGAGUUUCCAGUCGCGCUGUGAAUUCCCUACUGAGAGGAUGUAUUUGGUACCGAUAAGAUUCGCCGCUUUAAUUCUAGUUCUAACAUAUUGCGUAUGGUGUGAUAAUGUAGAAGGAGAAAAUCAUAACUAUCUAGAAACAACAUCGGGGUUGCUUCAAACCAACUCCAGCAAACAUGAGUCGGUUCCAUGUUUUAAAGGAUCUCCCAAAGGAAUUUUGGUGUACGAUGCAGAUGCUAACGACUGGAUAGUUAAUGUAGUGAUAGUUCGAAAUCGACAGCAGAAUUGUUUACGUGCAAAUCCUCAUGAACAAAAACCGAACAUGUCGCAGGAAAAACCUUUUCGUAUUUACGAUACAGACACUCAGCGUUGGACGGAUAGCGGGAUUUAAGAACAACCACCUAUCUCGGUUUUGAGGAACCCAUCUGAAGUCAUUAUUGGUCCAUUUACUAAUCCCAAUAGCAACCCAAGAGACCGCAUAAAAAGUUUUGCUAGUCCGUUACCUACUUCGACUCUUCGCUACACGGCCUCGUCCGAAACAACAACAGUAAAGGUUCGUGGUAGAGGAUUUCAAGAAACACAGAAUAUGGGCUCUGGUCGUAAAACGAUUCCAUUGCUAGUCUAUAAUAGUGACACCAAAAAAUGGAUAACUAUUGCCGCCACAUCCAAUUUUUGAUGUGCUUUAUUCAACAUAACAAUUAAAAGAAGAAUUUAAAAUGGAUUCAUGAAAACAUUGUAAGUAACCCGAAAUUUUAGAGAAUUGAUACUAUAAUUUUACCAAAUAAAUGUGUUUUAUCUUUAAAAAUCAGCAAAA